Molecule: ribosomal RNA, 521 nt
Filed under: uncultured bacterium
Lineage: Bacteria
Description: bacterial SSU rRNA
Rfam family: Bacterial small subunit ribosomal RNA
Source: RNAcentral
AGUUGAUAUGGCUCAGAUGAACGCUGGCGGCGUGCUAACACAUGCAAGUCGCGCGUGAAAGGACUUCGGUCCGAGUAAAGCGGCGCACGGGUGAGUAACGCGUGGAUGAUCUACCCAUGAGUUAGGAAUAACGGCUGGAAACGGUCGCUAAUACCAAAUACGCUCCGAUUUCAACUUCGGGGGAAAGGUGGCCUCUGCUUGCAAGCUACUGCUCAUGGAUGAGUCCGCGUCCCAUUAGCUAGUUGGUGGGGUAACGGCCCACCAAGGCGACGAUGGGUAGCCGGUCUGAGAGGAUGACCGGCCACACUGGGACUGGAACACGGCCCAGACUCCUACGGGAGGCAGCAGUGGGGAAUAUUGCGCAAUGGGCGAAAGCCUGACGCAGCGACGCCGCGUGAGGGGAAUGAAGGUCCUCGGAUCGUAAACCUCUGUCAGGAGGGAAGAACCGCCACGGUGCUAAUCAGCCGUGGUCUGACGGUACCUCCAAAGGAAGCACCGGCUAACUCCGUGCCAGCCGCCGC